CCUACGGGAGGCAGCAGUGAGGAAUAUUGGUCAAUGGCCGAGAGGCUGAACCAGCCAAGUCGCGUGAGGGAAGACGGCCCUACGGGUUGUAAACCUCUUUUGUCGGGGAGCAAAGAGAGUCACGUGUGACUCAUUGAGAGUACCCGAAGAUAAAGCAUCGGCUACCUCCGUCCGAGCAGGCGCGGAAAUACGGAGGAUGCGAGCGUGAGCCGGAUGUAUUGGGUGUAAGGGGUGCGCAGGCGGCGUGGUAAGUAAGCGGUAAAAGCCCGGGGCCGAACCCCGGCGAGCCGUUGAAACUGGGGGGCUGGAGUGGGAGAGAAGUACGCGGAAUGCGCGGUGUAGCGGUGAAAUGCUUAGAUAUCGGGCAGAACCCCGAUUGCGAAGGCAGCGUACCGGCCCCACCCUGACGCUGAGGCACGAAAGCGUGGGUAUCGAACAGGAUUAGAUACCCUGGUAGUC
RNAcentral lists this ribosomal RNA (459 nucleotides) under uncultured bacterium. Its description in RNAcentral is "partial 16S ribosomal RNA". It matches the Rfam family "Bacterial small subunit ribosomal RNA", at positions 338 to 795 of the family's 1533-position model. The record is from RNAcentral.